AAAAAGAAAAAGAAAAAGAAAACCAACAAGGAAGAGGGUAAAUGUUCAAGAAACUCUUCUCCAAAUCCAAAUUCCACUUGGAUUCCACUCCGGGAGGAAAGUCCAUGUGAAGACACAGUGAGAAGGCAAAAAGGCAUCCAUCCGCAAGCCAGGAAAAGAGCCCUCACCAGAAACCAAAUGUUGUGAGAACUUGAUCUUGGACUUCCCAGCCUCUAGAACUGUCUCACAUGAAGGAAGACUUUCACCCUGAGGACAAGGCCCCCGCAUGCAUUCUCAAGCUCUUGUCAGCGACCCAUUUUGUGAAUGGAGACAUUUCUGCUUUGAAGUCAUAAUUUAUCCUGCAAGAGCUGCUAAAAGAAGCACUUUUAAACUCAGAUCUGAACGAAGGCUGGGAAUUGGUUGUUGCAAGUAGAAAAUGAGUUACAGAUGUACAAAGACAUUAGGAGGCUGCCUGCAACAUAGAAGCAAAAUGACCUGCCAACAUGGGCUGCAUUCGCACCAAAACCGUGAAGAAGGCGGCCUGGGGCAUCAUAGAAAAGUACUACACGCGGCUGAACAACGACUUCCACACGAACAAGCGCGUGUGUGAGAAGAUCGCCAUUAUCCCCAGCAAGAAGCUCCGCAACAAGAUAGCAGGCUAUGUCACGCAUCUGAUGAAGCGGAUUCAGAGAGGCCCAGGAAGAGGUUUCUCCAUCAAGCUGCAGGAGGAGGAGAGAGAGAAAGGACAGAAAAUUACGAUCCUGAGGUCUCAGCCUUAGAUCAAGAGAUAAUUGAAGUAGAUCCUGGCACUAAGGAAAUGCUGAAGCUUUUGGACUUCGGCAGUCUGUCCAACCUGCAGGUCACUCUGCCUACAGUUGGGAUGAAUUUUAAAAUGCCUCGGGGACCUGUUUGAAUUUUUUCUGCAAUGCUAUAUUAUUUUCAAUAAA
This is an RNA transcript of Symphalangus syndactylus (siamang), 926 nucleotides long. It is a transcript of the gene named small ribosomal subunit protein eS17-like, with no coding region annotated. Lineage: Eukaryota; Metazoa; Chordata; Mammalia; Primates; Hylobatidae. The record is from RefSeq and is a predicted model, not a curated record.